AGUGGGGAAUUUUCCGCAAUGGGCGAAAGCCUGACGGAGCAAUACCGCGUGAGGGAGGAAGGCUCUUGGGUCGUAAACCUCUUUUCUCAGGGAAGAAGCAAUGACGGUACCUGAGGAAUCAGCAUCGGCUAACUCCGUGCCAGCAGCCGCGGUAAUACGGAGGAUGCAAGCGUUAUCCGGAAUGAUUGGGCGUAAAGCGUCCGCAGGUGGCACAUCAAGUCUGCUGUCAAAGCCCCCAGCUUAACUGGGAAGAGGCGGUGGAAACUGGUGAGCUAGAGAGCAAUAGGGGUAGAGGGAAUUCCCGGUGUAGCGGUGAAAUGCGUAGAGAUCGGGAAGAACACCAGUGGCGAAAGCGCUCUACUAGGUUGCAACUGACACUGAGGGACGAAAGCUAGGGGAGCGAA
Molecule: ribosomal RNA, 404 nt
Filed under: Chroococcidiopsis thermalis 277
Lineage: Bacteria; Bacillati; Cyanobacteriota; Cyanophyceae; Chroococcidiopsidales; Chroococcidiopsidaceae
Also listed under: 1 other name
Description: bacterial SSU rRNA
Rfam family: Bacterial small subunit ribosomal RNA
Source: RNAcentral